This 494-nucleotide ribosomal RNA is filed under the name uncultured bacterium. RNAcentral's name for it is "bacterial SSU rRNA". It matches the Rfam family "Bacterial small subunit ribosomal RNA", at positions 29 to 507 of the family's 1533-position model. The record is from RNAcentral.
AGUGAACGUUGGCGGUAUGGAUGAGGCAUGCAAGUCGAGCGGAAAGGCUCCUUCGGGAGUACUCGAGCGGCGAAAGGGUGAGUAAUAAAUGGCUAACGUACCCUAGAGUGGGGAAUAACUUCGAGAAAUCGGAGCUAAUACCGCAUAAGACCACAGCGUCGCAUGGCGCAGAGGUCAAAGGGGGCUUCGGCUCUCGCUUUAGGAGCGGGCCAUUUGAUAUCAGCUUGUUGGUGAGGUAACGGCUCACCAAGGCUACGACGUCUAGCCGGUCUGAGAGGAUGGCUGGCCACACCGGGGACUGAGACACUGCCCGGACACCUACGGGUGGCUGCAGUCGAGAAUCAUUGUCAAUGGGCGAAAGCCUGAACGUGCGAUACCGCGUGUGGGAUGAAGGCGGAUACCGUUGUAAACCACUGUCAGGGGCUAUGAAUAAGGCGGGGCUAAUACCUCCGCUGAUGACCUAAACCCCAGAGGAAGUCGCAGCUAACUACGUG